AUGAACGCUGGCGGCGUGCCUAACACAUGCAAGUCGAACGGAAACUAGGCGCUUCGGAGACUUCGGUCAAUGUUUGCUUAGUUUAGUGGCGGACGGGUGAGUAACGCGUGGAUAACCUGCCAUAUACAGGGGGAUAACAGUUAGAAAUGACUGCUAAUACCGCAUAAGCGCACAGUCUCGCAUGGGACAGUGUGAAAAAACUCCGGUGGUAUAUGAUGGAUCCGCGUCUGAUUAGCCAGUUGGCGGGGUAACGGCCCACCAAAGCGACGAUCAGUAGCCGACCUGAGAGGGUGAACGGCCACAUUGGGACUGAGACACGGCCCAAACUCCUACGGGAGGCAGCAGUGGGGGAUAUUGCACAAUGGGGGAAACCCUGAUGCAAGCGACGCCGCGUGAGUGAAGAAGUAUUUCGGUAUGUAAAGCUCUAUCAGCAGGGAAGAUAAUGACGGUACCUGACUAAGAAGCACCGGCUAAAUACGUGCCAGCCGCCGC
RNAcentral lists this ribosomal RNA (492 nucleotides) under uncultured bacterium. RNAcentral's name for it is "bacterial SSU rRNA". It matches the Rfam family "Bacterial small subunit ribosomal RNA", at positions 29 to 518 of the family's 1533-position model. The record is from RNAcentral.